GUGGGGAAUUUUGGACAAUGGGCGCAAGCCUGAUCCAGCAAUGCCGCGUGCAGGAAGAAGGCCUUCGGGUUGUAAACUGCUUUUGUACGGAACGAAACGGUCCGGGUUAAUACCCUGGACUAAUGACGGUACCGUAAGAAUAAGCACCGGCUAACUACGUGCCAGCAGCCGCGGUAAUACGUAGGGUGCAAGCGUUAAUCGGAAUUACUGGGCGUAAAGCGUGCGCAGGCGGUUUUGUAAGACAGGCGUGAAAUCCCCGGGCUCAACCUGGGAAUUGCGCUUGUGACUGCAAGGCUGGAGUGCGGCAGAGGGGGAUGGAAUUCCGCGUGUAGCAGUGAAAUGCGUAGAUAUGCGGAGGAACACCGAUGGCGAAGGCAAUCCCCUGGGCCUGCACUGACGCUCAUGCACGAAAGCGUGGGGAGCAAACAGGAUUAGAUACCCGUGUAGUCC
This 450-nucleotide ribosomal RNA is filed under the name uncultured bacterium. Its description in RNAcentral is "partial 16S ribosomal RNA". It matches the Rfam family "Bacterial small subunit ribosomal RNA", at positions 354 to 796 of the family's 1533-position model. The record is from RNAcentral.